Molecule: long non-coding RNA, 445 nt
Filed under: Homo sapiens (human)
Lineage: Eukaryota; Metazoa; Chordata; Mammalia; Primates; Hominidae
Description: AQP5 and AQP2 antisense RNA 2
Source: RNAcentral
AGGCCAGGGUCACCCAAAGCCGUGAUGACAGCCCGCUUUUCUCUGGUGGUUCUACUCAACCGCUCCACUGAGGUGAUGGGAGAGGUGAGGGGCCCAGGAGGAAGGUGGAGCUCAAAGAUGAGGAAGGGCCACUUGUGCAGAGAAGGGGGCGCCCACAGAGAUUGUGCGGGACUCAUCAAAGACAUCAGGACUCUUGUCCAGUGGCUCAAGGAUGGAAAAGGCCGGGAACUACCGGAAACAAGCACAAAAGAGGCACUCACUGUCCUGGCUUAGGAUGGGGGUACAGAGGCUGUGGUGUGUCCGUGCCUGGCCUGUAAGGAGCACCUGCCACGGGACCUGCAAACCCUCAAAGCAGAAGAAAUGCUGGGCCCCUCUUCUCUCUUGAGAACCCUGUGAUGAUCACUCCAAGGCUCCCCGCAGCUUGGAAAGCAUGUCUGCUCGGGAC